RNAcentral lists this ribosomal RNA (507 nucleotides) under uncultured bacterium. Its description in RNAcentral is "partial 16S ribosomal RNA". It matches the Rfam family "Bacterial small subunit ribosomal RNA", at positions 29 to 523 of the family's 1533-position model. The record is from RNAcentral.
AUUGAGCGCUGGCGGCAUGCCUUACACAUGCAAGUCGAACGGCAGCGGGGGAGAAGCUUGCUUUUCCUGCCGGUGAGUGGCGAACGGGUGAGUAAUACAUCGGAACGUGCCCUGUAGUGGGGGAUAACUAGUCGAAAGAUUAGCUAAUACCGCAUACGACCUGAGGGUGAAAGUGGGGGACCGCAAGGGCUCAUGCUAUAGGAGCGGCCGAAGGCUGAUUAGGUAGUUGGUGGGUAAAGGCCUACCAAGGCGACGACCAGUAGCUGGGCUGAGGGGAACAUCAGCCACACUGGGACUGAGACACGGCCCAGACUCCUACGGGAGGCAGAAGUGGGGAAUUUUGGACAAUGGGCGAAAGCCUGAUCCAGCAAUGCCGCGUGUGUGAAGAAGGCCUUCGGGUUGUAAAGCACUUUUGUCCGGAAAGAAAUGGCUCUGGUUAAUACCUGGGGUCGAUGACGGUACCGGAAGAAUAAGGACCGGCUAACUACGUGCCAGCAGCCGCCGUAA